Molecule: long non-coding RNA, 1031 nt
Organism: Hippocampus zosterae (dwarf seahorse)
Lineage: Eukaryota; Metazoa; Chordata; Actinopteri; Syngnathiformes; Syngnathidae
Exons: 3
Source: RefSeq, a predicted model, not a curated record
GAGAGGGCGAGGGAAAGAGAGAGCAAGAGGGUGCAGGUAGCGGGUGGGGAAAACCUCCUCUGUGAAAGGAUGAUGUCAGUCUCUGCAGCUCAGCCCCGGUUCCCAAUUCGAUGGGGUGAGCACAAUCUCUCAAGCAGACGGGAGUGUGCCAGACAAACCAAGAUGAAGAAGAAGAGCAAGAAAGAGAAGAAGAAAUAUGAAGGAAGGUCUGCUGUAUUAAUGAAGACCUGCAGCUCCCCUGCCAUUCCCAGCAGAGGAGACCUGCGCGACCCUCGGCCCGAGUGUCAUUACCGCUGACCAGCGGCUCGUCUCCUGCAGCCACUAUCCAUCCUCCCUUAGAGGCGACCGGGAGUUGACCGGAGGAUGUGGAAGGAGGAGAGUGACUGCAAGCUGCGCCGGGCAUCGCAUUAAAUUGAGAGGUAGCGCGAAUGUGGAUUGAUCCCAUAGGUUGGCACAACAACGAACAAGACUCAAUCACUAAAUAAAAUGAAUUUGCAACUUUGGAUCAUGACCAUCGCACACACUUUUUAGGCAGUGUUGAUUUGCUCAAUUGAUCGAAUGAUUAACAACAAAAACAUGUUUCAAGAAAUGUCGCCAACCAUCGUCCUAUGUUGGGCAUAUCGAAGGAUACACCUACAAUUAAUAUUAACUCUAUAUAAUGCAUAUUUGAUUGUUUCGCAAUAAUCAGAAACAUAAUAUUGACUUUUUUUUAUUUUGGCAAUUUAGUCAAUAGAUAUGGUAUUUCAUUUGUUGGGAUUUGAAUGACGGUAUAUAAUUUCAGAAAAGGAUUAAAUAUUUAGUUGUUAGUUCAUGCAUCACGGUCCCGCGAGAUCACAGAUUUUGUGUGUGUGUGUAAGUGUCAUUGCAGUGGUUAUUCUAUUUUGUUGGAGUGUGUUCGAAGACCUUAAAAAUUAAAGUACCACCAUUACAAUAAACACAUGCCGAGAGUGUAUUUCAAUAGGGUAUUUCUGUAUUGUGGAUUUCAUUUACUGGAGGCUUGGGCUGGAAUGUUACAUGAGCAAAGGAGGCGG